AGCAGCAGCCGCGGGAAUACGGAGGGUGCAAGCGUUAUCCGGAUUUAUUGGGUUUAAAGGGUCCGUAGGCGGACUUAUAAGUCAGUGGUGAAAGCCUGUCGCUUAACGAUAGAACUGCCAUUGAUACUGUAAGUCUUGAGUAUAUUUGAGGUAGCUGGAAUAAGUAGUGUAGCGGUGAAAUGCAUAGAUAUUACUUAGAACACCAAUUGCGAAGGCAGGUUACCAAGAUAUAACUGACGCUGAGGGACGAAAGCGUGGGUAGCGAACAGGAUUAGAUACCCCGUAGUCCCUGUCUCUUAUACA
Molecule: ribosomal RNA, 303 nt
Filed under: uncultured bacterium
Lineage: Bacteria
Description: partial 16S ribosomal RNA
Rfam family: Bacterial small subunit ribosomal RNA
Source: RNAcentral